AUGAAAGAAGCCAGCAUGGAACAACCGUGUGAGCCAUCAGACAACUAUGGACAGAGCCGGCAGAUUUAUAGUUGGGAAAUCAGAAUUAUGAUUAAACCUUGGAGCAGCAGGUACGAGAUUGUGAUUAAGAAAUUUUUUGGUUUACGCGUUACGCGAUCGCCGCACGCACCAUGGAGAUCCGCCGAGUCCGAGUCGAAAGAAACUUGCACUGCACUAGUACGAGUCCCAAGGAAAUUCCACAGCGGUGAGGGCAGGCAACAUCAAAAGUGUUUUCAUCGCUGUUAUUUUUAUGGGAAGACGAGGUUGAACCGUCAGACCAGAGGAAAGUACUAG
RNAcentral lists this ribosomal RNA (333 nucleotides) under Triticum aestivum (bread wheat). RNAcentral's name for it is "partial small subunit ribosomal RNA". Lineage: Eukaryota; Viridiplantae; Streptophyta; Magnoliopsida; Poales; Poaceae. The record is from RNAcentral.